UACGCCCCCUCGAGAUGAU
This 19-nucleotide non-coding RNA is filed under the name Arabidopsis thaliana (thale cress). The record is from RNAcentral. Lineage: Eukaryota; Viridiplantae; Streptophyta; Magnoliopsida; Brassicales; Brassicaceae.